CCUACGGGAGGCAGCAGUGGGGAAUAUUGCACAAUGGGGGAAACCCUGAUGCAGCGACGCCGCGUGAGCGAUGAAGUAUUUCGGUUUGUAAAGCUCUAUUAGUAGGGAAGAACAUGACGGUACCUGACUAAGCAGCCCGGGCUAAUUACGUGCCAGCAGCUGCGGUCAUACGUAGGGGGCAAGCGUUCUCCGGAUUUACUGGGGGUAAAGGGAGCGUAGACGGUUGUGCAAGCCAGUUGUGAAAGCCCGGGGCUUAACCCAGGAAGUGCAUUUGAAACUGUGUGACUGGAGUGUCGAAGAGGCAGGCGGAAUUCCGAGUGUAGCGGUGGAAUGCGUAGAGAUUAGGAAGAACACCAGUGGCGAAGGCGGCCUUCUGGUCUAUGACUGACGUUGAGGCUCGAAAGCGUGGGGAGCAAACAGGAUUAGAUACCCGUGUAGUC
Molecule: ribosomal RNA, 440 nt
Filed under: uncultured bacterium
Lineage: Bacteria
Description: partial 16S ribosomal RNA
Rfam family: Bacterial small subunit ribosomal RNA
Source: RNAcentral